Molecule: ribosomal RNA, 585 nt
Filed under: uncultured bacterium
Lineage: Bacteria
Description: partial 16S ribosomal RNA
Rfam family: Bacterial small subunit ribosomal RNA
Source: RNAcentral
UGGGGAAUUUUGGACAAUGGGCGAAAGCCUGAUCCAGCAAUGCCGCGUGUGUGAAGAAGGCCUUCGGGUUGUAAAGCACUUUUGUUCCGGAAAGAAAUCCUUGGCUCUAAUACAGUCGGGGGAUGACGGUACCGGAAGAAUAAGCACCGGCUAACUACGUGCCAGCAGCCGCGGUAAUACGUAGGGUGCAAGCGUUAAUCGGAAUUACUGGGCGUAAAGCGUGCGCAGGCGGUUUGCUAAGACCGAUGUGAAAUCCCCGGGCUCAACCUGGGAACUGCAUUGGUGACUGGCAGGCUAGAGUAUGGCAGAGGGGGGUAGAAUUCCACGUGUAGCAGUGAAAUGCGUAGAGAUGUGGAGGAAUACCGAUGGCGAAGGCAGCCCCCUGGGCCAAUACUGACGCUCAUGCACGAAAGCGUGGGGAGCAAACAGGAUUAGAUACCCUGGUAGUCCACGCCCUAAACGAUGUCAACUAGUUGUUGGGGAUUCAUUUCCUAGUAACGUAGCUAACGCGUGAAGUUGACCGCCUGGGGAGUACGGUCGCAAGAUUAAAACUCAAAUGAAUUGACGGGGUCAUAGCUGUUUCCU